RNAcentral lists this long non-coding RNA (226 nucleotides) under Mytilus galloprovincialis (Mediterranean mussel). The record is from RNAcentral. Lineage: Eukaryota; Metazoa; Mollusca; Bivalvia; Mytilida; Mytilidae.
CUGAUUGGGUUCCAUUAAUAUACCCACCAGAACUAGAAAUUAAAGAGACCACAGACACGGUUUCCUCCGCCUCAUUUUUAGACUUAUACCUCGAAUUUGACAUACACAGUCAUCUCAGUACCAGAAUCUAUGACAAACGAGACGAUUUUAAUUUUGAAAUUAUCAAUUCCCCCCACCUUAGUAGUAAUAUACCAACUUCACCUGCAUAUGGAAUAUACAUUUCCCA